Molecule: small RNA, 83 nt
Filed under: Marmota monax (woodchuck)
Lineage: Eukaryota; Metazoa; Chordata; Mammalia; Rodentia; Sciuridae
Source: RNAcentral
GCUGGGCGAGGUGGCGCACGCCUGUAAUCCCCGCCACUCGGGAGGCUGAGGCAGGAGAAUCGAAAGUUGAAGGCCAGCCUCAC